This 694-nucleotide ribosomal RNA is filed under the name uncultured Shigella sp. Its description in RNAcentral is "bacterial SSU rRNA". It matches the Rfam family "Bacterial small subunit ribosomal RNA", at positions 797 to 1493 of the family's 1533-position model. The record is from RNAcentral. Lineage: Bacteria; Pseudomonadati; Pseudomonadota; Gammaproteobacteria; Enterobacterales; Enterobacteriaceae.
GCACGGUAGGCAGUCACUUGGAGGUUGUGCCCUUGAGGCGUGGCUUCCGGAGCUAACGCGUUAAGUCGACCGCCUGUAACCGUACGGCCGCAAGGUUAAAACUCAAAUGAAUUGACGGGGGCCCGCACAAGCGGUGGAGCAUGUGGUUUAAUUCGAUGCAACGCGAAGAACCUUACCUGGUCUUGACAUCCACGGAAGUUUUCAGAGAUGAAAUGGUGCCUUCGGGAACCGUGAGACAGGUGCUGCAUGGCUGUCGUCAGCUCGUGUUGUGAAAUGUUGGGUUAAGUCCCGCAACGAGCGCAACCCUUAUCCUUUGUUGCCAGCGGUCCGGCCGGGAACUCAAAGGAGACUGCCAGUGAUAAACUGGAGGAAGGUGGGGAUGACGUCAAGUCAUCAUGGCCCUUACGACCAGGGCUACACACGUGCUACAAUGGCGCAUACAAAGAGAAGCGACCUCGCGAGAGCAAGCGGACCUCAUAAAGUGCGUCGUAGUCCGGAUUGGAGUCUGCAACUCGACUCCAUGAAGUCGGAAUCGCUAGUAAUCGUGGAUCAGAAUGCCACGGUGAAUACGUUCCCGGGCCUUGUACACACCGCCCGUCACACCAUGGGAGUGGGUUGCAAAAGAAGUAGGUAGCUUAACCUUCGGGAGGGCGCUUACCACUUUGUGAUUCAUGACUGGGGUGAAGUCGUCAAA